This 434-nucleotide long non-coding RNA is filed under the name Vombatus ursinus (common wombat). Its description in RNAcentral is "lncRNA (ENSVURG00010021730.1)". Lineage: Eukaryota; Metazoa; Chordata; Mammalia; Diprotodontia; Vombatidae. The record is from RNAcentral.
CGGGUAGGGAAGGAAUGUUGGGAACUUUAAAUUCCCUCUCUCCCCCCCACCCCAACUCCCCCCAUCCUCACCUCAGGGUUCAUGGGUUCCAUAGCAGGUUGACUGGAGAACUGGCAGUCCUGGGAAAUCAAUUAUCCCCAUCUCUCUGAACAGUUUUCCAUUAGGUUAUGCCAUACGUAAAUAAUGAGAAGACUGAAGAGGAUCCUGAACUCUCCGGAGAGCUUCAGUCAGCAAUCACACCUACCACUUCUGGAGAAGAAAACAGAAAGAAUUUUAAAACCUUAGAGAAGAAGAUCUCUGCAGUUUGGGACAAAGAGGGAAGAAGCAGUGUAUUAAUCUAUCAACUAACAACAACAAUUAUGAUCUUUGUGCCUUGCAUCGAUAUAAUACUUCUACAUGUUAAACUCUUUCACAUCUGGGAUCUCACUUCAUCU